Molecule: ribosomal RNA, 1327 nt
Filed under: metagenome
Description: bacterial SSU rRNA
Rfam family: Bacterial small subunit ribosomal RNA
Source: RNAcentral
UUUGAGGUGGAGGUCCUUGAAGGGGUGGAAUAUGAGAAAUCGUAGGAAGCCUUAGGGAGGGAGGAAGCCUUUAAUACGGUCAGUGGCGAACGGGUGAGUAACACGUAGGCGAUCUGCCUUGAAGUGGGGAACAACUGUUCGAAAGAGCAGCUAAUUCCGCAUAAUAUCUUGCGCAAGCGAGAAGAAAGGGGUAACACCCGCUUUAAGAAGAGCCUGCGGCCGAUUAGCUAGUUGGUAGGGUAACGGCCUACCAAGGCGACGAUCGGUAGCUGGUCUGAGAGGACGAUCAGCCACACUGGGAUUGAGAACGGCCCAGACUCCUACGGGAGGCAGCAGUAAGGAAUAUUGCACAAUGGGGGGAACCCUGAUGCAGCAACGCCGCGUGGGUGAAGAAGGCCUUCGGGUCGUAAAACCCUUUUCUGGGGGAAGAGGAAGGACGGUACCUCAGGAAUAAGUCUCGGCUAACUACGUGCCAGCAGCCGCGGUAAAACGUAGGAGGCGAGCGUUAUCCGGAUUCAUUGGGCGUAAAGGGCAAGUAGGCGGUAGACAAAGUUGGGCGUGACAGAUUCUGGCUUAACUAGGAGAGGUCGCUCAAUACUGGUUUACUAGAGGGCAGGAGAGGGAAGCGGAACUCCUAAAGUAGCGGUGGAAUGCUCAGAUAUUAGGAAGAACAUCAGUGGCGAAGGCGGCUUCCUGGCCUGUACCUGACGCUGAGAGGCGAAAGCUAGGGGAGCGAACGGGCUUAGAUACCCCGGUAGUCCUAGCUGUAAACGGUGGAUACUGGGUAUUGGGGGGUAAGACCCUCAGUGCCGAAGCAAACGCGUUAAGUAUCCCGCCUGGGGACUACGGCCGCAAGGUUAAAACUCAAAGGAAUUGACGGGGACCCGCACAAGCAGCGGAGCGUGUGGUUUAAUUCGAUCAACACGAAGAACCUUACCUGGGUUUGACAUGUAUGUAGUAGGGAAUCGAAAGGUGACCGACCCUUCGGGGAGCAUACACAGGUGCUGCAUGGCUGUCGUCAGCUCGUGCCGUGAGGUGUUGGGUUAAGUCCCCUAACGAGCGCAACCCCUGUUGCUAGUUAGACAUUUCUAGCGAGACUGCCGGAAUAUAACCGGAGGAAGGCGGGGACGACGUCAAGUCAGCAUGGCCUUUAUAUCCAGGGCUACACACACGCUACAAUGGUCGGUACAGAGGGCAGCAAAGUCGCGAGGCGGAGCCAAUCCCAAAAAGCCGAUCUCAGUUCAGAUUGCAGGCUGAAACCCGCCUGCAUGAAGUUGGAGUUGCUAGUAACCGCAGGUCAGCAUACUGCGGUGAAUACGUUCCCGGG